This 468-nucleotide ribosomal RNA is filed under the name uncultured bacterium. RNAcentral's name for it is "partial 16S ribosomal RNA". It matches the Rfam family "Bacterial small subunit ribosomal RNA", at positions 28 to 507 of the family's 1533-position model. The record is from RNAcentral.
GACGAACGCUGGCGGCGUGCUUAACACAUGCCAGUCGAACGGAAAGGCCCUGCUUUUGUGGGGUGCUCGAGUGGCGAACGGGUGAGUAACACGUGAGUAACCUGCCCUUGACUUUGGGAUAACUUCAGGAAACUGGGGCUAAUACCGGAUAGGAGCUCCUGCUGCAUGGUGGGGGUUGGAAAGUUUCGGCGGUAGGGGAUGGACUCGGGGCUUAUCAGCUUGUUGGUGGGGUAGUGGUUUACCAAGGCUUUGACGGGUAGCCGGCCUGAGAGGGUGACCGGCCACAUGGGGACUGAGAUACGGCCCAGACUGCAACGGGAGGCAGCAGUGGGGAAUAUGGCACAAUGGGCGGGAGUCUGAUGCAGCAACGCCGCGUGCGGGAUGACGGCCUUCGGGUGGUAAACCGCUUUCGCCUGUGACGAAGCGUGAGUGACGGUAAUGGGUAAAGAAGCACCGGCUAACUACGUG